UACGUAGGGACCAAGCGUUGUCCGGAAUCAUUGGGCGUAAAGAGCGUGUAGGCGGCUUGUUAAGUCUUGCGUGAAAUCUCGGGGCUCAACCCCGAGCGGUCGUGAGAAACUGGCAGGCUAGAGUGCGGGAGAGGAGAGUGGAAUUCCUGGUGUAGCGGUGAAAUGCGCAGAUAUCAGGAAGAACACCCAUGGCGAAGGCGGCUCUCUGGGACGGUACUGACGCUGAGACGCGAAAGCGUGGGGAGCGAACAGG
This 253-nucleotide ribosomal RNA is filed under the name uncultured bacterium. Its description in RNAcentral is "partial 16S ribosomal RNA". It matches the Rfam family "Bacterial small subunit ribosomal RNA", at positions 524 to 776 of the family's 1533-position model. The record is from RNAcentral.